GACGAACGCUGGCGGCGUGCUUAACACAUGCAAGUCGAACGGUAAGGCCCUUCGGGGUACACGAGUGGCGAACGGGUGAGUAACACGUGGGUGAUCUGCCCUGCACUUCGGGAUAAGACUGGGAAACUGGCUCUAAUACCGGAGAGGACCACUGCCUGCAUGGGUGGUGGGGGAAAGCUUUUGCGGUGUGGGAUGGGCCCGCGGCCUAUCAGCUUGUUGGUGGGGUGAUGGCCUACCAAGGCGACGACGGGUAGCCGGCCUGAGAGGGUGACCGGCCACACUGGGACUGAGAUACGGCCCAGACUCCUACGGGAGGCAGCAGUGGGGAAUAUUGCACAAUGGGCGCAAGCCUGAUGCAGCGACGCCGCGUGAGGGAUGACGGCCUUCGGGUUGUAAACCUCUUUCAGCACCGACGAAGCGCAAGUGACGGUAGGUGCAGAAGAAGGACCGGCCAACUACGUGCCAGCAGCCGCGGUAA
RNAcentral lists this ribosomal RNA (478 nucleotides) under uncultured bacterium. Its description in RNAcentral is "partial 16S ribosomal RNA". It matches the Rfam family "Bacterial small subunit ribosomal RNA", at positions 28 to 523 of the family's 1533-position model. The record is from RNAcentral.